UGGGGAAUAUUGGACAAUGGGCGGAAGCCUGAUCCAGCAACGCCGCGUGAGGGAUGACGGCCUUCGGGUUGUAAACCUCUUUCAGCGGGGACGAAGCACCGGUUGAUGGUGGUGACGGUACCCGCAGAAGAAGCACCGGCCAACUACGUGCCAGCAGCCGCGGUAAUACGUAGGGUGCGAGCGUUGUCCGGAAUUAUUGGGCGUAAAGGGCUCGUAGGCGGUUUGUCGCGUCGUGCGUGAAAUCCAUCAGCUUAACUGGUGGCCUGCGUGCGAUACGGGCAGACUAGAGGUAUGCAGGGGAGAACGGAAUUCCUGGUGUAGCGGUGAAAUGCGCAGAUAUCAGGAGGAACACCGGUGGCGAAGGCGGUUCUCUGGGCAUUACCUGACGCUGAGGAGCGAAAGUGUGGGGAGCGAACA
RNAcentral lists this ribosomal RNA (417 nucleotides) under uncultured Nocardioides sp. RNAcentral's name for it is "bacterial SSU rRNA". It matches the Rfam family "Bacterial small subunit ribosomal RNA", at positions 355 to 774 of the family's 1533-position model. Lineage: Bacteria; Bacillati; Actinomycetota; Actinomycetes; Propionibacteriales; Nocardioidaceae. The record is from RNAcentral.